CAGUAGCCGCGGGAAUACGUAGGGUGCGAGCGUUAAUCGGAAUUACUGGGCGUAAAGCGUGCGCAGGCGGUUCGUUAAGACAGAUGUGAAAUCCCCGGGCUUAACCUGGGAACUGCAUUUGUGACUGGCGAGCUAGAGUAUGGCAGAGGGGGGUAGAAUUCCACGUGUAGCAGUGAAAUGCGUAGAGAUGUGGAGGAACACCGAUGGCGAAGGCAGCCCCCUGGGCCAAUACUGACGCUCAUGCACGAAAGCGUAGGGAGCAAACAGGAUUAGAGACCCCUGUAGUCCCUGUCUCUUAUAC
RNAcentral lists this ribosomal RNA (301 nucleotides) under uncultured bacterium. RNAcentral's name for it is "partial 16S ribosomal RNA". It matches the Rfam family "Bacterial small subunit ribosomal RNA", at positions 509 to 807 of the family's 1533-position model. The record is from RNAcentral.